This is a non-coding RNA of Gossypium raimondii (Peruvian cotton), 87 nucleotides long. Lineage: Eukaryota; Viridiplantae; Streptophyta; Magnoliopsida; Malvales; Malvaceae. The record is from Rfam.
CACGUAAGCGCGAUAUGCUUAUGUGGAAGGAAAUCGCGUCCUUGAGGGAGCGAUUUCCUUCCACGUAAGCAUCUCGCGCUUACGUGG